CGGACGGGUGAGUAACGCGUAGGAAUCUACCCUGGUAGUGGGGGGACAACUUGUGGAAACGCAAGCUAAUACCGCAUACGCCCUAAGGGGGAAAGCGGGGGAUCUUCGGACCUCGUGCUAUCGGAUGAGCCUGCGUAGGAUUAGCUAGUUGGUGAGGUAAAGGCUCACCAAGGCGACGAUCCUUAGCUAGUCUGAGAGGAUGAUCAGCCACACUGGGACUGAGACACGGCCAG
RNAcentral lists this ribosomal RNA (233 nucleotides) under uncultured bacterium. RNAcentral describes it as "partial 16S ribosomal RNA". It matches the Rfam family "Bacterial small subunit ribosomal RNA", at positions 99 to 334 of the family's 1533-position model. The record is from RNAcentral.